CUACGGGAGGCUGCAGGGAAUAUUGCACAAUGGGCGCAAGCCUGAUGCAGCCAUGCCGCGUGUAUGAAGAAGGCCUUCGGGUUGUAAAGUACUUUCAGCGGGGAGGAAGGGAGUAAAGUUAAUACCUUUGCCCAUUGACGUUACCCGCAGAAGAAGCACCGACUAACUCCGUGCCAGCAGCCGCGGUAGUACGGAGGGUGCAAGCGUUAAUCGGAAUUACUGGGCGUAAAGCGCACGCAGGCGGUUUGUUAAGUCAGAUGUGAAAUCCCCGGGCUCAACCUGGGAACUGCAUCUGAUACUGGCAAGCUUGAGUCUCGUAGAGGGGGGUAGAAUUCCAGGUGUAGCGGUGAAAUGCGUAGAGAUCUGGAGGAAUACCGGUGGCGAAGGCGGCCCCCUGGACGAAGACUGACGCUCAGGUGCGAAAGCGUGGGGAGCAAACAGGAUUAGAUACCCCCGUAGUC
Molecule: ribosomal RNA, 461 nt
Filed under: uncultured bacterium
Lineage: Bacteria
Description: partial 16S ribosomal RNA
Rfam family: Bacterial small subunit ribosomal RNA
Source: RNAcentral